GGUGCAACGUAAGCCUCAUGUUUCCACCUUGCAAAGCCAGAAAAUGAAGAGACCAAGCACAUCAGCAAAUAAAUAUUUCCACCCAUGUACGACCAAACACAACAGUAACCCAAAUUCAAGCCUCCAUCCAAGGGAUCAGCAAAUCCCUACUAGGCCCAACAAAUAAUUAACAUAUCCACUCCCGAAAGGAUCUAAUCAAAGGAUCAAAUCAACCAAGUUGGAGUCUUGAGCAAAAUUCCACACUUCUGCCGCAAAAUAAAAGAACAGAGGUGGUGUGGGCUAUCAACAUUGAAGAAGGACCAAUACAAAGUUGAGAUGAAGGAUACGAGACACACAAACACCCAAUCACCCUGUGCUGAGAUGCGAGAUUCAGCAACCUCUUUCAUUUAACAAAGUGGCUGCAGAAUUAAUUUGUCUAAGCAUGAAAUUCAGGUUUGGAAAAAAUGUAAUUCCCAGCUGCUCACCCACCGAGAUAUCUGCACCGCUUCCUCAUGAAUGUGUUUAGAUUAUUUAUAUGGUUCCAUUGUUUCAGAAUCCCUGCGACUUUUCUCAUUGAAUGAUAACAAGUACUUGUGGUAUUUUAAAGGUCAUCAUGACAGGUAUUUUCCUAGAACUGACCUUCAGUUCCACUUUGAUGUAAACAUUAUCCUUAUUUAUGUCUAGAAGUGACAUUUCAUGAAUUUAUUCAAAGGGUUGUCUGACUGAGUUUGUGGUCUCCUAAGGAAUGCUUUAUCUCUGGUUCCUAGACUGAAUUAUUCUGCUUUGGGAUCAACGGGCUGAAAAGGGUAAGGUUAAUAUUUUGACAUAGACACUCACCCCAGAAAACAAGCUUUAUUAUAUGCAAGGCAAUCCUGCUACAGCAUAUGGUGAUCAAGGGCUAAACGGCUAAUAUUUGCAAUUGCCAUUUUCUUUUCGUUGGUUUUUUUUUUUUUUUUUUUUUGGGGGGGGGAAUACAUAAGAUUGUUUGACAUUAGCAAGUGUAAAAAGGUCAGACUAUAGAUCUAAUGAAGUAUGGAGGGCUAAGUACUACAAAGUUUUUCCAUCCCUUCACUGCUAUUUGGCAUGUACUUAAUUGUUGAAAAGCAAUUCGUUUUAGGGCUCUUUUGACAUCUUUCCUGUUCAAGGGGAUGUAUCCAAUGCAAUGACGGGAGACUUAUGCUCUUGACAACUAUGGAUGGGCACUCAUGUCCUUGAUUCAUUUUGGGGAACAUUUGUAAGUCCAGUGCUUAAAAACUUUCACCUAAAACUUCCUUUAACAUGCUUCUAUGUUCUCUUUUAUAUUAGUUAUUCACAUAUAAUGCAAGCCAUUUUCAAUGACUUCUACAUUAUGGGGGGGCAUCUUUCAGCCCUGAGGGAUUGUUUGUCUAUCAGGUAUUGCAUCUGCCAUCAGUUCACUUGGAGGACAGUAAUUUGAAUAUUUUUGGCUUAUUUUCUUCCUCUUUAGUUGGUUGAUGCCUUUAAAUAUGUUUGUUCAAAUGAUGAUGUGUCCGAUUGGACCUUAAUUUUUCUUUAGGUGCAUGACCAAAUGACUGAUCCUCUCUCCUUUUCAUUUUUUUUUCUUCUGCUUUUUUUUUUGGUGGAGAGGCAUUGCUGUGGUUUUGAAAUGGAUGCGUUUUGGGUGAACCUAUAUGGAACAAUCUCUUGGGUUUCAUUAAUCAUUUGUGGCUUGGAAUGAAGAGCACUCUUAGAGAAUGGAAUAUAUGUAUUCUUGCAAUACCUGGCAUAAGAUAAGUAUUCAAUGGGCCCAUUCCUACAAGUGAAGUGGCAUUUCACUUACUAUGGAGCCCAAAUUUUCUUUGGUUUUAGAGAAGCCUACCUGUUUUUACUCCUAAUAACUCUAUUGCUUCUGAUAUCUUGACAGGUUCAGGUGAUGGUCGUGUCCAUUGUAAGGAGUGGGAAAGAAGUUGCAAGUUGGAUGACUUAUGAAACUGAGCCUCAUGUUAUAACAUGAUGGGCCCCUGGGAGUCUUCUGUUUGCGACUGAGUCUUCUGAACUAUCAUUUUGGAUUCUAGACUUGUCUAAAUUGGCAGCUCAUGUUGGAAGGAUGUAUAAUUACCCCUGUUAGGCCCCCAAAAUAUUUCUAAGCAUCAAGCGGUCCCGAGGUUCCCUAUUGCUACAAUGAACUUAUUGGUGGACUUUGGAGUUGCUGCCAACUCUUCUUUGUACUCUCUUGCCUCUUCUAAAGUAGUUGGUAUCCACCCAACGGACAGGCAGCUAUGCUUUGUACAGAAUUUAUCUAUUAACUUAAGCAUUUGUAUGUUAAGGUUGUAGAUGAUCCAGUUGCGUGCUGACCUAUGUAGGGUAAACAUCAUAUCAGUGGGGUGGCCCUAAGGUAGUAUGUCAAGGCUCAGGUAUUGAAACAUUUGUACAAUGUUUUGAUCAUAUAGUUAUUAGUUAUACGAUGUUUUCUGUUGGAAUACAAUAUCACACCUUCUACCACAACUUCUGAUUAGCAUCUGGAUUCCUGUCUAUAGGCACACUGAUCGCUAAUGUCAAGGAUUGAUUCUGUUAAUGACAGUGCUUAGUUGACUAAA
This is a long non-coding RNA of Manihot esculenta (cassava), 2534 nucleotides long. RefSeq lists it as uncharacterized. Lineage: Eukaryota; Viridiplantae; Streptophyta; Magnoliopsida; Malpighiales; Euphorbiaceae. The transcript has 3 exons. The record is from RefSeq and is a predicted model, not a curated record.